Molecule: small RNA, 152 nt
Filed under: uncultured Fusicatenibacter sp.
Lineage: Bacteria; Bacillati; Bacillota; Clostridia; Lachnospirales; Lachnospiraceae
Description: Clostridiales-1 RNA
Rfam family: Clostridiales-1 RNA
Source: RNAcentral
GACGCCAGAGUCAAAAGGGCAUGCUUUUCAUGCUUGCAUGAAAAAGCAUGCCCUUUGGGGGCCGCAAAAACAUGAGAAAAUAGCCCGAUCGGGCCGAUUUCGAAUGUUUUUCGGAUUGCGGGAGUAUGAAAUGCGGAGCAAUCCGUAGCAUC